Molecule: unclassified non-coding RNA, 431 nt
Filed under: plant metagenome
Description: partial contains 5.8S ribosomal RNA, internal transcribed spacer 2, and large subunit ribosomal RNA
Rfam family: 5.8S ribosomal RNA (bases 1-102)
Source: RNAcentral
AAACUGCGAUAAGUAGUGUGAAUUGCAUUUAGUGAAUCAUCGAAUCUUUGAACGCACCCUGCACUCACUGGUAUUCCAGUGAGUACGCCUGUUUCAGUAUCAUUGAAAACACACAAUCAAAACAUUUUCUUUGGUUUGAUUGGCUUUGGGUCUAUCAAAAAGUUUGGCUUGUUUCUUACAAGCCAAGCGGCCUGAAAUAUAUUGUCUGGCUAAUUGCAUCGUUGAUGAUCGCUAUUAGACUUUGGCUUUUUUAAAUGAACUGGAGGUUGAUUAACCAGUUUUAGCUUUAGUCAAAUGAUCAUUGUAAAAAAAAUCUCGAUCUUGGCUAGGUGUUUAUAGCCGAAAAUUUUUUUUUGGCUAUAACCGAAACCAAUAUAAUCACAUUUAGUUAUCGAUCUGAAAUCAGGUGGGACUACCCGCUGAACUUAAGC